GGUCCGGUGGUGUAGUGGUUAGCAUGGUAGCCUCUUACCCCAGCAGACCUGGGUUCAAUCCCAGACGGACCC
This 72-nucleotide transfer RNA is filed under the name Culex quinquefasciatus (southern house mosquito). It matches the Rfam family "tRNA". Rfam says of the family: Transfer RNA (tRNA) molecules are approximately 80 nucleotides in length. The record is from Rfam by way of RNAcentral. Lineage: Eukaryota; Metazoa; Arthropoda; Insecta; Diptera; Culicidae.